Molecule: ribosomal RNA, 761 nt
Filed under: Prevotella nigrescens
Lineage: Bacteria; Pseudomonadati; Bacteroidota; Bacteroidia; Bacteroidales; Prevotellaceae
Description: bacterial SSU rRNA
Rfam family: Bacterial small subunit ribosomal RNA
Source: RNAcentral
GAUGAACGCUGGCUACAGGCUUAACACAUGCAAGUCGUGGGGAAACGGCAUUAUGUGCUUGCACAUUCUGGACGUCGACCGGCGCACGGGUGAGUAUCGCGUAUCCAACCUGCCCCUUACUUGGGGAUACCCCGUUGAAAGACGGCCUAAUACCCGAUGUGUUUCAUUGACGGCAUCCGAUAUGAAACAAAGGUUUUCCGGUAAGGGAUGGGGAUGCGUCUGAUUAGCUAGUUGGCGGGGCAACGGCCCACCAAGGCGACGAUCAGUAGGGGUUCUGAGAGGAAGGUCCCCCAUAUUGGAACUGAGACACGGUCCAAACUCCUACGGGAGGCAGCAGUGAGGAAUAUUGGUCAAUGGACGCAAGUCUGAACCAGCCAAGUAGCGUGCAGGAUGACGGCCCUAUGGGUUGUAAACUGCUUUUAUGUGGGAAUAAAUUGGCGCACGUGUGCGCCAUUGCAUGUACCUCAUGAAUAAGGACCGGCUAAUUCCGUGCCAGCAGCCGCGGUAAUACGGAAGGUCCGGGCGUUAUCCGGAUUUAUUGGGUUUAAAGGGAGUGUAGGCGGUCUGUUAAGCGUGUUGUGAAAUUUAGGUGCUCAACAUUUAACUUGCAGCGCGAACUGUCAGACUUGAGUACACGCAGCGCAGGCGGAAUUCAUGGUGUAGCGGUGAAAUGCUUAGAUAUCAUGAGGAACUCCGAUCGCGAAGGCAGCCUGCGGGAGUGUUACUGACGCUUAAGCUCGAAGGUGCGGGUAUCGAACAGG